UACGUAGGUGGCAAGCGUUGUCCGGAUUUACUGGGCGUAAAGAGCGCGCAGGCGGUCGGAUAAGUCGAAUGUGAAAGCCCCUGGCUCAACCAGGGAGGGUCAUUUGAUACUGUUCGACUCGAAGGCAGGAGAGGGAAGUGGAAUUCCGGGUGUAGUGGUGAAAUGCGUAGAUAUCCGGAGGAACACCAGUGGCGAAGGCGACUUUCUGGCCUGUUCUUGACGCUGAGGCGCGAAAGCUAGGGGAGCAAACGGG
This 253-nucleotide ribosomal RNA is filed under the name uncultured bacterium. Its description in RNAcentral is "partial 16S ribosomal RNA". It matches the Rfam family "Bacterial small subunit ribosomal RNA", at positions 524 to 776 of the family's 1533-position model. The record is from RNAcentral.